UAGAACGUUGAAGAGAGGAGCUUGCUCUUCUUGGAAGAGUUGCGAACGGGUGAGUAACGCGUAGGUAACCUGCCUUGUAGCGGGGGAUAACUAUUGGAAACGAUAGCUAAUACCGCAUAACAAUGGGUGACCCAUGUCAUUCAUUUGAAAGGGGCAACUGCUCCACUACAAGAUGGACCUGCGUUGUAUUAGCUAGUAGGUGAGGUAACGGCUCACCUAGGCGACGAUACAUAGCCGACCUGAGAGGGUGACCGGCCACACUGGGACUGAGACACGGCCCAGACUCCUACGGGAGGCAGCAGUAGGGAAUCUUCGGCAAUGGGGGCAACCCUGACCGAGCAACGCCGCGUGAGUGAAGAAGGUUUUCGGAUCGUAAAGCUCUGUUGUAAGUCAAGAACGAGUGUGAGAGUGGAAAGUUCACACUGUGACGGUAGCUUACCAGAAAGGGACGGCUAACUACGUGCCAGCAGCCGCGGUAAUACGUAGGUCCCGAGCGUUGUCCGGAUUUAUUGGGCGUAAAGCGAGCGCAGGCGGUUUGAUAAGUCUGAAGUUAAAGGCUGUGGCUCAACCAUAGUUCGCUUUGGAAACUGUCAAACUUGAGUGCAGAAGGGGAGAGUGGAAUUCCAUGUGUAGCGGUGAAAUGCGUAGAUAUAUGGAGGAACACCGGUGGCGAAAGCGGCUCUCUGGUCUGUAACUGACGCUGAGGCUCGAAAGCGUGGGGAGCGAACAGGAUUAGAUACCCUGGUAGUCCACGCCGUAAACGAUGAGUGCUAGGUGUUGGGUCCUUUCCGGGAUUCAGUGCCGCAG
Molecule: ribosomal RNA, 807 nt
Filed under: uncultured Streptococcus sp.
Lineage: Bacteria; Bacillati; Bacillota; Bacilli; Lactobacillales; Streptococcaceae
Description: bacterial SSU rRNA
Rfam family: Bacterial small subunit ribosomal RNA
Source: RNAcentral